RNAcentral lists this ribosomal RNA (2405 nucleotides) under Vibrio cholerae. RNAcentral's name for it is "partial 23S ribosomal RNA". It matches the Rfam family "Bacterial large subunit ribosomal RNA", at positions 358 to 2760 of the family's 2925-position model. Lineage: Bacteria; Pseudomonadati; Pseudomonadota; Gammaproteobacteria; Vibrionales; Vibrionaceae. The record is from RNAcentral.
UACAGGGUGAUAGCCCCGUAACCGACGCUUCAUCGAGCGUGAAAUCGAGUAGGGCGGGACACGUGAUAUCCUGUCUGAAUAUGGGGGGACCAUCCUCCAAGGCUAAAUACUCCUGACUGACCGAUAGUGAACCAGUACCGUGAGGGAAAGGCGAAAAGAACCCCUGUGAGGGGAGUGAAAUAGAACCUGAAACCGUGUACGUACAAGCAGUAGGAGCACCUUCGUGGUGUGACUGCGUACCUUUUGUAUAAUGGGUCAGCGACUUAUAUUCAGUGGCAAGGUUAACCGUAUAGGGGAGCCGUAGCGAAAGCGAGUCUUAACUGGGCGCUCAGUCUCUGGAUAUAGACCCGAAACCGGGUGAUCUAGCCAUGGGCAGGUUGAAGGUUGAGUAACAUCAACUGGAGGACCGAACCGACUAAUGUUGAAAAAUUAGCGGAUGACUUGUGGCUAGGGGUGAAAGGCCAAUCAAACUCGGAGAUAGCUGGUUCUCCCCGAAAGCUAUUUAGGUAGCGCCUCGGACGAAUACUACUGGGGGUAGAGCACUGUUAAGGCUAGGGGGUCAUCCCGACUUACCAACCCUUUGCAAACUCCGAAUACCAGUAAGUACUAUCCGGGAGACACACGGCGGGUGCUAACGUCCGUCGUGGAGAGGGAAACAACCCAGACCGCCAGCUAAGGUCCCAAAGUAUUGCUAAGUGGGAAACGAUGUGGGAAGGCUCAGACAGCUAGGAUGUUGGCUUAGAAGCAGCCAUCAUUUAAAGAAAGCGUAAUAGCUCACUAGUCGAGUCGGCCUGCGCGGAAGAUGUAACGGGGCUAAGCAAUACACCGAAGCUGCGGCAAUGUCUUUUAGACAUUGGGUAGGGGAGCGUUCUGUAAGCCGUUGAAGGUGAAUCGUAAGGUUUGCUGGAGGUAUCAGAAGUGCGAAUGCUGACAUGAGUAACGACAAAGGGGGUGAAAAACCUCCUCGCCGGAAGACCAAGGGUUCCUGUCCAACGUUAAUCGGGGCAGGGUGAGUCGACCCCUAAGGUGAGGCCGAAAGGCGUAAUCGAUGGGAAACGGGUUAAUAUUCCCGUACUUCUGACUAUUGCGAUGGGGGGACGGAGAAGGCUAGGUGGGCCAGGCGACGGUUGUCCUGGUUCAAGUGCGUAGGCUUGAGAGUUAGGUAAAUCCGGCUCUCUCUAAGGCUGAGACACGACGUCGAGCUGCUACGGCAGUGAAGUCAUUGAUGCCAUGCUUCCAGGAAAAGCCUCUAAGCUUCAGAUAGUCAGGAAUCGUACCCCAAACCGACACAGGUGGUCGGGUAGAGAAUACCAAGGCGCUUGAGAGAACUCGGGUGAAGGAACUAGGCAAAAUGGUACCGUAACUUCGGGAGAAGGUACGCUCUUGAUGGUGAAGUCCCUCGCGGAUGGAGCUGACGAGAGUCGCAGAUACCAGGUGGCUGCAACUGUUUAUUAAAAACACAGCACUGUGCAAAAUCGCAAGAUGACGUAUACGGUGUGACGCCUGCCCGGUGCCGGAAGGUUAAUUGAUGGGGUUAGCGCAAGCGAAGCUCUUGAUCGAAGCCCCGGUAAACGGCGGCCGUAACUAUAACGGUCCUAAGGUAGCGAAAUUCCUUGUCGGGUAAGUUCCGACCUGCACGAAUGGCGUAAUGAUGGCCACGCUGUCUCCACCCGAGACUCAGUGAAAUUGAAAUCGCUGUGAAGAUGCAGUGUACCCGCGGCUAGACGGAAAGACCCCGUGAACCUUUACUACAGCUUGGCACUGAACAUUGAACCUACAUGUGUAGGAUAGGUGGGAGGCUAUGAAGACGUGACGCCAGUUGCGUUGGAGCCGUCCUUGAAAUACCACCCUUGUAUGUUUGAUGUUCUAACUUAGACCCAUUAUCUGGGUUGAGGACAGUGCCUGGUGGGUAGUUUGACUGGGGCGGUCUCCUCCCAAAGAGUAACGGAGGAGCACGAAGGUGGGCUAAUCACGGUUGGACAUCGUGAGGUUAGUGCAAUGGCAUAAGCCCGCUUAACUGCGAGAAUGACGGUUCGAGCAGGUGCGAAAGCAGGUCAUAGUGAUCCGGUGGUUCUGUAUGGAAGGGCCAUCGCUCAACGGAUAAAAGGUACUCCGGGGAUAACAGGCUGAUACCGCCCAAGAGUUCAUAUCGACGGCGGUGUUUGGCACCUCGAUGUCGGCUCAUCACAUCCUGGGGCUGAAGUCGGUCCCAAGGGUAUGGCUGUUCGCCAUUUAAAGUGGUACGCGAGCUGGGUUUAGAACGUCGUGAGACAGUUCGGUCCCUAUCUGCCGUGGGCGUUGGAAGAUUGAAGGGGGCUGCUCCUAGUACGAGAGGACCGGAGUGGACGAACCUCUGGUGUUCGGGUUGUGUCGCCAGACGCAUUGCCCGGUAGCUAAGUUCGGAA